GGAAAUUUAUAUCGAUAGGCAGCUCAGAUACUCAUUAAUGACUAGUCUGCAAGUCACGGAUUCGGCUGGAUCCAGACUUUGAUCUGCUCAUGAUGAACGCUGGCGGCGUGCUUAACACAUGCAAGUCGAACGAAGCACCUUGAUUUGAUUCUUCGGAUGAAGAUCCUGGUGACUGAGUGGCGGACGGGUGAGUAGCGCGUGGGUAACCUGCCUCAUACAGGGGGAUAACAGUUAGAAAUGACUGCUAAUACCGCAUAAGACCACAGCACCGCAUGGUGCAGGGGUAAAAACUCCGGUGGUAUGAGAUGGACCCGCGUCUGAUUAGGUAGUUGGUGGGGUAACGGCCUACCAAGCCGACGAUCAGUAGCCGACCUGAGAGGGUGACCGGCCACAUUGGGACUGAGACACGGCCCAAACUCCUACGGGAGGCAGCAGUGGGGAAUAUUGCACAAUGGGGGAAACCCUGAUGCAGCGACGCCGCGUGAGCGAUGAAGUAUUUCGGUAUGUAAAGCUCUAUCAGCAGGGAAGAAAAUGACGGUACCUGACUAAGAAGCACCGGCUAAAUACGUGCCAGCAGCCGCGGUAAUACGUAUGGUGCAAGCGUUAUCCGGAUUUACUGGGUGUAAAGGGAGCGUAGACGGAGUGGCAAGUCUGAUGUGAAAACCCGGGGCUCAACCCCGGGACUGCAUUGGAAACUGUCAAUCUAGAGUACCGGAGAGGUAAGCGGAAUUCCUAGUGUAGCGGUGAAAUGCGUAGAUAUUAGGAGGAACACCAGUGGCGAAGGCGGCUUACUGGACGGUAACUGACGUUGAGGCUCGAAAGCGUGGGGAGCAAACAGGAUUAGAUACCCUGGUAGUCCACGCCGUAAACGAUGAUUACUAGGUGUCGGGCAGCAAAGCUGUUCGGUGCCGCAGCAAACGCAAUAAGUAGUCCACCUGGGGGAGUACGAUGGCCAGAAUGCAACUCAAAUUGAACCGUCGUUGUACGGUCAGC
Molecule: ribosomal RNA, 993 nt
Filed under: uncultured bacterium
Lineage: Bacteria
Description: bacterial SSU rRNA
Rfam family: Bacterial small subunit ribosomal RNA
Source: RNAcentral